UCCGGUUUGUCACCGGCGGUCUCCUUAGAGUUCCCACCAUUACGUGCUGGCAACUAAGGACAAGGGUUGCGCUCGUUGCGGGACUUAACCCAACAUCUCACGACACGAGCUGACGACAGCCAUGCAGCACCUGUGUUCGAGUUCCCGAAGGCACCAAUCCAUCUCUGGAAAGUUCUCGACAUGUCAAGGCCAGGUAAGGUGGGGAUGACGUAUGCGUAACAGAA
RNAcentral lists this unclassified non-coding RNA (224 nucleotides) under uncultured Lysobacteraceae bacterium. RNAcentral's name for it is "uncultured Xanthomonadaceae bacterium contains 16S-23S intergenic spacer region". The record is from RNAcentral. Lineage: Bacteria; Pseudomonadati; Pseudomonadota; Gammaproteobacteria; Lysobacterales; Lysobacteraceae.